GGUUCAAUUGCCAAAUGAGAUCGCUUUCCACAAGAGACCAAAUGACCUGACAGAAUUUAACAACUAUAGUUCACCGUUCGGCCUUCAACAAUGAGCAAAGCGAAUACCCGCAUAGUCAGCUAUAAAAGGCCUCGAAAUUACAAUGGAAAUAAAACAAUGCAAAAAUAAACUGAUAACAAAUAUGUAACACAUCAACAAACGACAACCACCGAAUUACAGGCUCCUGACUUGAGACGGGCACAUACAUACAGCUCGUUUU
RNAcentral lists this long non-coding RNA (259 nucleotides) under Mytilus galloprovincialis (Mediterranean mussel). The record is from RNAcentral. Lineage: Eukaryota; Metazoa; Mollusca; Bivalvia; Mytilida; Mytilidae.